UAGGGAAUCUUCCGCAAUGGACGCAAGUCUGACGGAGCAACGCCGCGUGAGUGAAGAAGGAUUUCGGUUCGUAAAACUCUGUUGUUAGAGAAGAACAGCGCAUAGAGUAACUGUUAUGCGUGUGACGGUAUCUAACCAGAAAGCAACGGCUAACUACGUGCCAGCAGCCGCGGUAAUACGUAGGUCCCGAGCGUUGUCCGGAUAUAUUGGGCGUAAAGCGAGCGCAGGCGGUUAGAAAAGUCUGAAGUGAAAGGCAGUGGCUCAACCAUUGUAGGCUUUGGAAACUGGUUAACUGGAGUGCAGAAGGGGAGAGUGGAAUUCCAUGUGUAGCGGUGAAAUGCGUAGAUAUAUGGAGGAACACCGGUGGCGAAAGCGGCUCUCUGGUCUGUAACUGACGCUGAGGCUCGAAAGCGUGGGGAGCGAACAGG
This 428-nucleotide ribosomal RNA is filed under the name Bacteroidota bacterium. Its description in RNAcentral is "Bacteroidetes bacterium partial 16S ribosomal RNA". It matches the Rfam family "Bacterial small subunit ribosomal RNA", at positions 355 to 776 of the family's 1533-position model. Lineage: Bacteria; Pseudomonadati; Bacteroidota. The record is from RNAcentral.